This 742-nucleotide unclassified non-coding RNA is filed under the name Bombus terrestris (buff-tailed bumblebee). RNAcentral's name for it is "misc RNA ENSBTSG00005035155.1". The record is from RNAcentral. Lineage: Eukaryota; Metazoa; Arthropoda; Insecta; Hymenoptera; Apidae.
AAUGGAAUUCUUUGCCACAUGCAAUUUCUUUCUGAUAGCUGCCACAUCUACACGAUUUUGUGACUACCUCUAAACAUUGCCCGCAACGAUCUGUAUGACAUCUCAUAUUACAAUAAUGCGAACCACAAUUUAAUAAUUUUCCACAUGUAUCUCCACAUGUGGGUAGCUGUUCUUGUUUGCAAGAAAUGGCAUAACGUUUUUUCCCACAAGGACAGGUUCUAUUCUUCUCCAAUGGACAGGGUCCACAGUCGCCAAUUAAAUGACAUUUACUUUGACAUAUGUGAACAUUACAAGAAAGAGUGGCAUUCUAGUAAUAAUAUUUCUGGACAAGGAGGACAUUCCCCUGAGUGACACACUUCUUUGCAAGUGUGUGGACAUAACUUAUACUCUUUGUUACAUUCAGUACCACAACUCCAUUCUUUGGCAUUGCAUCGUCGUUGUUGAGGCAUUUGUUUGCCACAGUAGCAUUUAAUAGAUACUGUCUUUGCACAAGGAGGACAUGGUCCAGGAUGGCAAAGCAAAACACAUUUGUGACCACAUUCUGGUUGCAGCAGUUUGUCGCAUGUUUCUCCACAGGAAUGUGGAAUAUUCCAUGGACUAUAUGGGGGAUCUAUGGUUUUUUUACAAAAGCAUUUAUAAUUACGAGGAAUGUCAUCUUGAUUAUAUUCCAUACGACAUUUUGGACUAGAAUAAUAUUCAUAUAUAAUAUUUAAAUGAAUGUAUUAUCAAUAUACAUAUCUGC